Molecule: long non-coding RNA, 1763 nt
Organism: Oncorhynchus keta (chum salmon)
Lineage: Eukaryota; Metazoa; Chordata; Actinopteri; Salmoniformes; Salmonidae
Exons: 3
Source: RefSeq, a predicted model, not a curated record
CUGUCUGGAUCACAUAACAUUUACCCCUGAAUACGACUACAAUGUAAAGUCUGCAUUAAAAUCAGUCUGUGACGUCAAGCAGGUUGUUCUCUGUGUGGAACUGGAUCAUGUUCAAACUAAACCUGGGAAACGUUAUAGAACAUGAAGGUCUUUAUAGAACAUGAAGGUCUUUAUAGAACAUGAAGGUCUUUAUAGAACAUGAAGGUCUUUAUAGAACAUGAAGGUCUUUAUAGAACAUGAAGGUCUUUAUAGAACAUGAAGGUCUUUAUAGAACAUGAAGGUCUUUAUAGAACAUGAGGGUCUUUAUAGAACAUGAAGGUCUUUAUAGAACAUGAAGGUCUUUAUAGAACAUGAAGGUCUUUAUAGAACAUGAAGGUCUUUAUAGAACAGAAGGUCUUUAUAGAACAUGAAGGUCUUUAUAGAACAUGAAGGUCUUUAUAGAACAGAAGGUCUUUAUAGAACAUGAAGGUCUUUAUAGAACAGAAGGUCUUUAUAGAACAGAAGGUCUUUAUAGAACAUGAAGGUCUUUAUAGAACAUGAAGGUCUUUAUAGAACAGAAGGUCUUUAUAGAACAUGAAGGUCUUUAUAGAACAGAAGGUCUUUAUAGAACAGAAGGUCUUUAUAGAACAUGAAGGUCUUUGCAUAACAGAAGGUCUUUAUAGAACAUGAAGGUCUUUAUAGAACAUGAAGGUCUUUAUAGAACAGAAGGUCUUUAUAGAACAGAAGGUCUUUAUAGAACAUGAAGGUCUUUACAUAACAGAAGGUCUUUAUAGAACAUGAAGGUCUUUAUAGAACAUGAAGGUCUUUAUAGAACAGAGGGUCUUUAUAGAACAUGGGGGUCUUUAUAGAACAGAAGGUCUUUAUAGAACAGAAGGUCUUUAUAGAACAUGAGAGUCUUUAUAGAAUGUGAAGGUCUUUAUAGAACAGAAGGUCUUUAUAGAACAGAAGGUCUUUAUAGAACAUGAAGGUCUUUAUAGAACAGAAGGUCUUUAUAGAACAGAAGGUCUUUAUAGAACAUGAAGGUCUUUAUAGAACAGAAGGUCUUUAUAGAACAGAAGGUCUUUAUAGAACAUGAAGGUCUUUAUAGAACAGAAGGUCUUUAUAGAACAGAAGGUCUUUAUAGAACAUGAAGGUCUUUAUAGAACAGAAGGUCUUUAUAGAACAGAAGGUCUUUAUAGAACAUGAAGGUCUUUAUAGAACAUGAAGGUCUUUAUAGAACAUGAAGGUCUUUAUAGAACAGAAGGUCUUUAUAGAACAGAAGGUCUUUAUAGAACAUGAAGGUCUUUAUAGAACAGAAGGUCUUUAUAGAACAGAAGGUCUUUAUAGAACAUGAGGGUCUUUAUAGAACAUGAGGGUCUUUACAGAACAUGAGGGUGUAUUAGCUGUAUAUAAAAACCCUUUUGGAAUGAAUGGAGCUCCUUACCUUCAGGUAGUUCCUACGGCUCGCUGUCAUCUUUUUACUGAUUGGAUAAAGCAGAUCAGGGUCAUUUAAGGGAAAUAUACAAGGUGAAGCCACAGAGACAGGUACGUGACGAUUAAACAUUUUUAGGAAUUCAUUUUAUUACAUUACGGUAGGAAUAAUUGCAACACUAUUGGGAAUCAUCAUAGCAUAGUAUUACUCCGUUGUACUGCCUGGUUUUCUAUGUUGAAAACAUGUUCACAGACAGAAUACAGUAGAUGAAUACAGUAUAGUGAAGUAUAUUUUUCUGUAAACUGAAAAACGUAAACUUACUCAGACAUUUUGGCCUGUUGUUUUGUUUUAC